This 164-nucleotide ribosomal RNA is filed under the name Doryteuthis gahi. RNAcentral's name for it is "partial 16S ribosomal RNA". Lineage: Eukaryota; Metazoa; Mollusca; Cephalopoda; Myopsida; Loliginidae. The record is from RNAcentral.
AAUUUUAUUAUUACCAAUAUUAUUAAUUGUUAGUGGUAAUAUAUAAAUUUUAAUUGGGGUGAUUAAGGAAUAAAAAGUUUAUUAUUUAGUAACUUCCUUAGUAAAUAUAAAUUGUUAAAUAAAGUAACCAAUAUAAAUAAAUAUUAUUGCUUAUAUUAUAGUUA